This 793-nucleotide ribosomal RNA is filed under the name uncultured Enterococcus sp. Its description in RNAcentral is "bacterial SSU rRNA". It matches the Rfam family "Bacterial small subunit ribosomal RNA", at positions 1 to 769 of the family's 1533-position model. The record is from RNAcentral. Lineage: Bacteria; Bacillati; Bacillota; Bacilli; Lactobacillales; Enterococcaceae.
AUUAGAGUUUGAUCCUGGCUCAGGACGAACGCUGGCGGCGUGCGUAAUACAUGCAAGUCGAACGCUUCUUUUCUACCGAGUGCUUGCACUCACUUGAAAAGAGGAGUGGCGGACGGGUGAGUAACACGUGGGUAACCUGCCCAUCAGAGGGGGAUAACACUUGGAAACGGGUGCUAAUACCGCAUAACAGUCGACACCGCAUGGUGUUGAUUUGAAAGACGCUUUCGGGUGUCACUGAUGGAUGGACCCGCGGUGCAUUAGCUAGUUGGUGAGGUAACGGCUCACCAAGGCCAUGAUGCAUAGCCGACCUGAGAGGGUGAUCGGCCACACUGGGACUGAGACACGGCCCAGACUCCUACGGGAGGCAGCAGUAGGGAAUCUUCGGCAAUGGACGAAAGUCUGACCGAGCAACGCCGCGUGAGUGAAGAAGGUUUUCGGAUCGUAAAACUCUGUUGUUAGAGAAGAACAAGUAGGAGAGUAACUGCUCCUACCUUGACGGUAUCUAACCAGAAAGCCACGGCUAACUACGUGCCAGCAGCCGCGGUAAUACGUAGGUGGCAAGCGUUGUCCGGAUUUAUUGGGCGUAAAGCGAGCGCAGGCGGUUUCUUAAGUCUGAUGUGAAAGCCCCCGGCUCAACCGGGGAGGGUCAUUGGAAACUGGGAGACUUGAGUGCAGAAGAGGAGAGUGGAAUUCCAUGUGUAGCGGUGAAAUGCGUAGAUAUAUGGAGGAACACCAGUGGCAAAGGCGACUCUCUGGUCUGUAACUGACGCUGAGGCUCGAAAGCGUGGGGAGC